RNAcentral lists this ribosomal RNA (484 nucleotides) under Melarhaphe neritoides. Its description in RNAcentral is "partial 16S ribosomal RNA". It matches the Rfam family "Bacterial large subunit ribosomal RNA", at positions 1817 to 2571 of the family's 2925-position model. The record is from RNAcentral. Lineage: Eukaryota; Metazoa; Mollusca; Gastropoda; Littorinimorpha; Littorinidae.
CGCUCCUUGAUUUUAAUUAAUAAGGAGUCGGACCUGCCCAGUGAUAAGUAUUUAACGGCCGCGGUACUCUGACCGUGCAAAGGUAGCAUAAUCAUUUGCCCUAUAAUUGAGGGCUAGUAUGAAUGGUUUGACAAGAACAAUACUGUCUCUUUCAAAANUUUCUAGAAUUUAUUCUUUAGGUGAAGAAACCUAAAUAAAAUUAAAAGACAAGAAGACCCUAUCGAGCUUAAACUCUUUUUAUAAAAUAAAAAAAAUUAAUAAUAUUUUUUGUUAUAAAAAAUUUUGGUUGGGGCGACUAAGGAACAAAAAAAGCUUCUUUAUUUAAUAAAGACAAAUAUGUAUUGAUCCAUAAAANUCUUGAUUAAAAGAAUUAGUUACCGUAGGGAUAACAGCAUAAUCUUUUUUAAGAGUUCUUAUCGAAAAAAAGGUUUGUGACCUCGAUGUUGGACUAAAAUUUCCUAAUAGAUGCAGACGUCUUUAAGGG